This 2935-nucleotide ribosomal RNA is filed under the name Serratia sp. HRI. RNAcentral's name for it is "23S ribosomal RNA". It matches the Rfam family "Bacterial large subunit ribosomal RNA". Lineage: Bacteria; Pseudomonadati; Pseudomonadota; Gammaproteobacteria; Enterobacterales; Yersiniaceae. The record is from RNAcentral.
GGGUUGUGAGGUUAAGUGACUAAGCGUACACGGUGGAUGCCUAGGCAGUCAGAGGCGAUGAAGGGCGUGCUAAUCUGCGAAAAGCGUCGGUAAGGUGAUAUGAACCGUUACAACCGGCGAUACCCGAAUGGGGAAACCCAGUGUGUUUCGACACACUAUCAUGUCAUGAAUACAUAGUGGCAUGAGGCGAACCGGGGGAACUGAAACAUCUAAGUACCCCGAGGAAAAGAAAUCAACCGAGAUUCCCCCAGUAGCGGCGAGCGAACGGGGAGGAGCCCAGAACCUGAAUCGGCUUGUGUGUUAGUGGAAGCGUCUGGAAAGUCGCGCAGCAAAGGGUGAUAGCCCCGUACACUAAAAUGCACAGGUCGUGAGUUCGAUGAGUAGGGCGGGACACGUGACAUCCUGUCUGAAUAUGGGGGGACCAUCCUCCAAGGCUAAAUACUCCUGACUGACCGAUAGUGAACCAGUACCGUGAGGGAAAGGCGAAAAGAACCCCGGCGAGGGGAGUGAAAUAGAACCUGAAACCGUGUACGUACAAGCAGUGGGAGCACCUUCGUGGUGUGACUGCGUACCUUUUGUAUAAUGGGUCAGCGACUUAUAUUUUGUAGCAAGGUUAACCGUAUAGGGGAGCCGUAGGGAAACCGAGUCUUAACUGGGCGAAUAGUUGCAAGGUAUAGACCCGAAACCCGGUGAUCUAGCCAUGGGCAGGUUGAAGGUUGGGUAACACUAACUGGAGGACCGAACCGACUAAUGUUGAAAAAUUAGCGGAUGACUUGUGGCUGGGGGUGAAAGGCCAAUCAAACCGGGAGAUAGCUGGUUCUCCCCGAAAGCUAUUUAGGUAGCGCCUCGUGAACUCAUCUUCGGGGGUAGAGCACUGUUUCGGCUAGGGGGCCAUCCCGGCUUACCAAACCGAUGCAAACUCCGAAUACCGAAGAAUGUUAUCACGGGAGACACACGGCGGGUGCUAACGUCCGUCGUGAAGAGGGAAACAACCCAGACCGCCAGCUAAGGUCCCAAAGUCAUGGUUAAGUGGGAAACGAUGUGGGAAGGCAUAGACAGCCAGGAUGUUGGCUUAGAAGCAGCCAUCAUUUAAAGAAAGCGUAAUAGCUCACUGGUCGAGUCGGCCUGCGCGGAAGAUGUAACGGGGCUAAACCAUGCACCGAAGCUGCGGCAGCGACGCUUAGGCGUUGUUGGGUAGGGGAGCGUUCUGUAAGCCGUUGAAGGUGGCCUGUGAGGGUUGCUGGAGGUAUCAGAAGUGCGAAUGCUGACAUAAGUAACGAUAAAGCGGGUGAAAAGCCCGCUCGCCGGAAGACCAAGGGUUCCUGUCCAACGUUAAUCGGGGCAGGGUGAGUCGACCCCUAAGGCGAGGCUGAAAAGCGUAGUCGAUGGGAAACAGGUUAAUAUUCCUGUACUUGGUGUUACUGCGAAGGGGGGACGGAGAAGGCUAGGCUAGCCGGGCGACGGUUGUCCCGGUUUAAGCGUGUAGGGGGUGUGACCUGGUAAAUCCGGUUGCAUAUCAACCCUGAGGCGUGAUGACGAUGCACUACGGUGCAGAAGUAGUUGAUGCCCUGCUUCCAGGAAAAGCCUCUAAGCUCCAGGUAACAUUGAAUCGUACCCCAAACCGACACAGGUGGUCAGGUAGAGAAUACCAAGGCGCUUGAGAGAACUCGGGUGAAGGAACUAGGCAAAAUGGUGCCGUAACUUCGGGAGAAGGCACGCUGGCAUGUAGGUGAAGUCCUUCGCGGAUGGAGCUGAAGCCAGUCGAAGAUACCAGCUGGCUGCAACUGUUUAAUAAAAACACAGCACUGUGCAAACACGAAAGUGGACGUAUACGGUGUGACGCCUGCCCGGUGCUGGAAGGUUAAUUGAUGGGGUCAGCCGCAAGGCGAAGCUCUUGAUCGAAGCCCCAGUAAACGGCGGCCGUAACUAUAACGGUCCUAAGGUAGCGAAAUUCCUUGUCGGGUAAGUUCCGACCUGCACGAAUGGCGUAAUGAUGGCCAGGCUGUCUCCACCCGAGACUCAGUGAAAUUGAACUCGCUGUGAAGAUGCAGUGUACCCGCGGCAAGACGGAAAGACCCCGUGAACCUUUACUAUAGCUUGACACUGAACAUUGAGCCUUGAUGUGUAGGAUAGGUGGGAGGCUUUGAAGCGUGGACGCCAGUCUGCGUGGAGCCAUCCUUGAAAUACCACCCUUUAAUGUUUGAUGUUCUAACUCGGCCCCAUAAUCUGGGGUGAGGACAGUGUCUGGUGGGUAGUUUGACUGGGGCGGUCUCCUCCCAAAGAGUAACGGAGGAGCACGAAGGUUAGCUAAUCACGGUCGGACAUCGUGAGGUUAGUGCAAAGGCAUAAGCUAGCUUGACUGCGAGAGUGACGGCUCGAGCAGGUACGAAAGUAGGUCUUAGUGAUCCGGUGGUUCUGAAUGGAAGGGCCAUCGCUCAACGGAUAAAAGGUACUCCGGGGAUAACAGGCUGAUACCGCCCAAGAGUUCAUAUCGACGGCGGUGUUUGGCACCUCGAUGUCGGCUCAUCACAUCCUGGGGCUGAAGUAGGUCCCAAGGGUAUGGCUGUUCGCCAUUUAAAGUGGUACGCGAGCUGGGUUUAGAACGUCGUGAGACAGUUCGGUCCCUAUCUGCCGUGGGCGUUGGAAGAUUGAGAGGGGUUGCUCCUAGUACGAGAGGACCGGAGUGAACGCACCACUGGUGUUCGGGUUGUCAUGCCAAUGGCAUUGCCCGGUAGCUAAGUGCGGAAAAGAUAAGCGCUGAAAGCAUCUAAGCGCGAAACUUGCCUCAAGAUGAGUCUUCCCUGGGCCUUUAAGGUCCCUGAAGGAACGUUUAAGACUAAGACGUUGAUAGGCUGGGUGUGUAAGUGCAGCGAUGCAUUGAGCUAACCAGUACUAAUGAUCCGUGAGGCUUAACCUUACAACACCGAAGGUGUUU